GCUUACGGCCAUACCACCCUGAGCACGCCCGAUCUCGUCCGAUCUCGGAAGCUAAGCAGGGUCGGGCCUGGUUAGUACUUGGAUGGGAGACCGCCUGGGAAUACCAGGUGCUGUAAGCUUUU
Molecule: ribosomal RNA, 122 nt
Filed under: Cyprinus carpio (common carp)
Lineage: Eukaryota; Metazoa; Chordata; Actinopteri; Cypriniformes; Cyprinidae
Source: RNAcentral